This 460-nucleotide ribosomal RNA is filed under the name uncultured bacterium. Its description in RNAcentral is "partial 16S ribosomal RNA". It matches the Rfam family "Bacterial small subunit ribosomal RNA", at positions 338 to 795 of the family's 1533-position model. The record is from RNAcentral.
CCUACGGGAGGCAGCAGUGAGGAAUAUUGGUCAAUGGACGAGAGUCUGAACCAUCCAAGUAGCGUGAAGGAUGACUGCCCUAUGGGUUGUAAACUUCUUUUAUAUGGGAAUAAAAUGUUCCACGUGUGGGAUUUUGUAUGUACAAUAUGAAUAAGGAUCGGCUAACUCCGUGCCAGCAGCAGCGGUAAUACGGAGGAUCCGAGCGUUAUCCGGAUUUAUUGGGUUUAAAGGGAGCGUAGGUGGAUUGUUAAGUCAGUUGUGAAAGUUUGCGGCUCAACCGUAAAAUUGCAGUUGAAACUGGCAGUCUUGAGUACAGGAGAGGUGGGCGGAAUUCGUGGUGUAGCGGUGAAAUGCUUAGAUAUCACGAAGAACUCCGAUUGCGAAGGCAGUUCACUGGACUGCAACUGACACUGAGGCUCGAAAGUGUGGGUAUCAAACAGGAUUAGAUACCCUAGUAGUC